GUGGGGAAUCUUGCGCAAUGGGCGAAAGCCUGACGCAGCCAUGCCGCGUGGAUGAUGAAGGUCUUAGGAUUGUAAAUUCCUUUCACCGGUGAAGAUAAUGACUGUAGCCGGAGAAGAAGCCCCGGCUAACUUCGUGCCAGCAGCCGCGGUAAUACGAAGGGGGCUAGCGUUGCUCGGAUUUACUGGGCGUAAAGGGCGCGUAGGCGGACAUUUAAGUCAGGGGUGAAAUCCCGGGGCUCAACCUCGGAACUGCCUUUGAUACUGGGUGUCUUGAGUAUGAGAGAGGUGUGUGGAACUCCGAGUGUAGAGGUGAAAUUCGUAGAUAUUCGGAAGAACACCAGUGGCGAAGGCGACACACUGGCUCAUUACUGACGCUGAGGCGCGAAAGCGUGGGGAGCAAACAGGAUUAGAUACCCUUGUAGUCC
This 425-nucleotide ribosomal RNA is filed under the name uncultured bacterium. RNAcentral describes it as "partial 16S ribosomal RNA". It matches the Rfam family "Bacterial small subunit ribosomal RNA", at positions 354 to 796 of the family's 1533-position model. The record is from RNAcentral.